GACGAACGCUGGCGGCGUGCCUAAUACAUGCAAGUCGAACGCAGUGGGGACGGGUGAGUAACACGUGGGUAACCUCCCAUCAGAGGGGAUAACACUUGGAAACAGGUGCUAAACCGAUACUGAUGGAUGGACCCGCGGUGCAUUAGCUAGUUGGUGAGGUAACGGCUCACCAAGGCCACGAUGCAUAGCCGACCUGAGCGGCUGAUCGGCCGCACGAGGACUGAGGCACGGCCCAAACGCCUACGGGAGGCAGCGGGAGGGAAGCUUCGGCAAUGGACGAAAGUCUGAACGAUCGACGCCGCGUGAGUGAAGAAGGGUUUCGGGGCGUAAAACUCUGUUGUUAGAGAAGCGGUAUCUAACCAGAAAGCCACGGCUAACUACGUGCCAGCCGCCGCGGUAAUAC
Molecule: ribosomal RNA, 403 nt
Filed under: uncultured bacterium
Lineage: Bacteria
Description: partial 16S ribosomal RNA
Rfam family: Bacterial small subunit ribosomal RNA
Source: RNAcentral